Molecule: transfer RNA, 73 nt
Filed under: Cordylochernes scorpioides
Lineage: Eukaryota; Metazoa; Arthropoda; Arachnida; Pseudoscorpiones; Chernetidae
Description: tRNA-Thr
Source: RNAcentral
GUCCAUGGAUGGGAAUCGAAUCCACACUGUUCCGCUUACCGGGCAGAUGCCAUGUCCACUAAGCUACCCUGGA